GGGAAGCUUGUAAAGACAGACAGACCAAAACAUGUUCUGUUUGUUACAAUCUGCUUCCUCGAGAAAAACUGCCUUUUGAUAACCGGCAAAUUAAAGGAAAUUGUAACGGACAGAUGCAGGGCAAAUAUUC
This is a non-coding RNA of Protopterus annectens (West African lungfish), 130 nucleotides long. RefSeq annotates it as small Cajal body-specific RNA 8. The transcript has a single exon. NCBI's taxonomy places the organism in Eukaryota, Metazoa, Chordata, Ceratodontiformes, Protopteridae. The record is from RefSeq and is a predicted model, not a curated record.